RNAcentral lists this ribosomal RNA (497 nucleotides) under uncultured bacterium. RNAcentral's name for it is "partial 16S ribosomal RNA". It matches the Rfam family "Bacterial small subunit ribosomal RNA", at positions 28 to 507 of the family's 1533-position model. The record is from RNAcentral.
GAUGAACGCUGGCGGCGUGCCUAAUACAUGCAAGUCGAGCGAACAGACGAGGAGCUUGCUCCUCUGACGUUAGCGGCGGACGGGUGAGUAACACGUGGAUAACCUACCUAUAAGACUGGGAUAACUUCGGGAAACCGGAGCUAAUACCGGAUAAUAUAUUGAACCGCAUGGUUCAAUAGUGAAAGACGGUAUUGCUGUCACUUAUAGAUGGCUACGCGCCGCAUUAGCUAGUUGGUAAGGUAACGGCUUACCAAGGCAACGAUGCGUAGCCGACCCCAGGGGGUGAUCGGCCAGACUGGAACUGAGACACAGUCCAGACUCCUGCGGGAGGCAGCAGUAGGGAAUCUUACGCAAUGGGCGAAAGCCUGACGUAGCAACGCCGCGUGAGUGAUGAAGGUCUUCGGAUCGUAAAGCUCUGUUAUUAGGGAAGAACAAAUGUGUAAGUAACUAUGCACGUCUUGACGGUACCUAAUCAGAAAGCCACGGCUAACUACGUG